Molecule: transfer RNA, 70 nt
Filed under: Dipodomys ordii (Ord's kangaroo rat)
Lineage: Eukaryota; Metazoa; Chordata; Mammalia; Rodentia; Heteromyidae
Rfam family: tRNA
About the family: Transfer RNA (tRNA) molecules are approximately 80 nucleotides in length.
Source: Rfam by way of RNAcentral
GGUAAGGUGGCUCAGUGGUAGAGUGCUUGCCUUGCAAGCAUGAGGCCCUGGGUUUGAUUCCUCAGUACCA